GACGAACGCUGGCGGCGUGCUUAACACAUGCAAGUCGAACGGAAAGGCCCUGCUUUUGUGGGGUGCUCGAGUGGCGAACGGGUGAGUAACACGUGAGUAACCUGCCCUUGACUUUGGGAUAACUUCAGGAAACUGGGGCUAAUACCGGAUAGGAGCUCCUGCUGCAUGUUGGGGGUUGGAAAGUUUCGGCGGUUGGGGAUGGACUCGCGGCUUAUCAGCUUGUUGGUGGGGUAGUGGCUUACCAAGGCUUUGACGGGUAGCCGGCCUGAGAGGGUGACCGGCCACAUUGGGACUGAGAUACGGCCCAGACUCCUACGGGAGGCAGCAGCGGGGAAUAUUGCACAAUGGGCGGAAGCCUGAUGCAGCAACGCCGCGUGCGGGAUGACGGCCUUCGGGUUGUAAACCGCUUUCGCCUGUGACGAAGCGUGAGUGACGGUAAUGGGUAAAGAAGCACCGGCUAACUACGUG
RNAcentral lists this ribosomal RNA (468 nucleotides) under uncultured bacterium. RNAcentral's name for it is "partial 16S ribosomal RNA". It matches the Rfam family "Bacterial small subunit ribosomal RNA", at positions 28 to 507 of the family's 1533-position model. The record is from RNAcentral.